GUCUACAGCCAUGCCAUCCUGAACAAGCCUGAUCCCAUCUGAUCUUGGAAGCUAAGCAGGGUUGGGCCUGGUUAGUACUUGGAAUGGGAGACCACCUAGGAAGACAGGUGCUGUAGGCA
Molecule: ribosomal RNA, 119 nt
Filed under: Pteropus alecto (black flying fox)
Lineage: Eukaryota; Metazoa; Chordata; Mammalia; Chiroptera; Pteropodidae
Also listed under: 1 other name
Source: RNAcentral